Cryptomeria japonica (Japanese cedar) is the source of this 2911-nucleotide long non-coding RNA. RefSeq lists it as uncharacterized. The transcript has 3 exons. The record is from RefSeq and is a predicted model, not a curated record. NCBI's taxonomy places the organism in Eukaryota, Viridiplantae, Streptophyta, Pinopsida, Cupressales, Cupressaceae.
GCUCUUACGUCACUCAAAAGCUGUUUACGGACGUAAAGAACAGCUGGAAAGUUACCUGCCUCGCACGAAUAACGGCAGCGGUUUGGAAAGUGUGAAACAGCAGAUAUCAUGACUUCUACACUCUUUCUCUCGCCAUUAAUUCUCAAGACGGCCAACACGCGUGUACGACGUAUACUCAUUCUCACCACGCAGCUUUAAAAUUCAAUGCCAGAUAUUAUUUUUCCAACCAAGAUCUCAAAAUGUGUGGCGGAUGUGGGGUGAAUUUCAAUUCAAUUAAGUGCAAGAGUUUCUUGAAAUUUGCAAGAGAGGCUUUCCAGGUACUGUGGCGAGCUAGGGUUUGGAGCUUCAAAUGGUCCCUGCUUGUGAAUUUUUGGCUUGAAUUUCGUUGUGUUGGAGAAUUUUUACUCGUGGCUCGAAUUCGCUUGGUGCAGGUCGGGAACAAAUUAUUCAGAACAAGAGCGAAUUCUCGGUUGUUUGUUUUCAUUCAUGAGAUUGAACAGAUGGAAUUUUUUGGAUGUCCUUUUUCAUUAGUGAGAAUGAACAGGUGGAAAUUCAGUUUCUGCUUGUGUGCUGUGGUUUGAAUUUGUUCCCCACUUGCAUCAAUUGAAUUUGAGCCAAUGGUAACUGAAUUUAAUCAGCUGCAAACACUGAAGAAACAAACGGCAUGGCGUAGAACGCUAAUCGUAUAAGAUUAUUCGGUUGAGCUUAUCUCAUUGUACCUGCGUUGCUUCGAUAUUUAUUUGCAUAUAAUCGGAGCUCAUCUUGAGAAGGGUGAAUUUAGGCCAGGCCCAUGGCAUGGUUACAUCCUCUGGGAGAAGGGAUUCUGGUAAGUCGUACGGUAGCCAUUGGGCAGUGAGAUGUGAAAGUGAACAGAGGAAUGAUAGAACUACGAAUCGUGGGAAAGCCCUGAUUAAAUAGCUUAGGUUUAUGCGUCUUACGAUUUUACCUGGAGGGUUUUAAAAAGCAAAAACAUUUAAAUGUCUGUACUCGUUCUAUUCUUAAUAAUAUAUUAGGGUCAAUUUAAGUAGAUGUAAUAUAGUUGUUUCCGCAGAUGUUUGCCAUUGAGGAAUACUGGUAAUAACUUUGAAAAUCGACGUUAUAUUGUUAUCUUUAUUCAACGAGAUUCUUUAUCUUUGCUGUAUUAUUAAGUAUUGUUAAUGUAGUCUUUAUUUUUCUUUGAAACCAAUAUUCUAAGAGUGUUAGACUCGCGUGAGUGCUCUGUAUAAUGCCAAGACAUGAUAAAAGGUCCAAGAUGGGCAUCCAUAGAAAAGAAGGAUUCAAUUCAAAUUUCAAGUUAGGUUCCCAUAUGACAGAAAGAACCAUGUCAGUUCAAUGUGGGCCUCUUAGAAAAGAAAUAAGAUAUAACCAUGUCAAAGUCACAGCAAGUAGAAAAAACUGGUCAGAGGAUCAGGGUUCUUGGUAGCCACCAGGAGUCAUUUCCUCUCCUUAGAGCGUUGAGAGUUCGACUCGUGCAUCCUCCAAAAGAAUAGGGAAUUAAGCAGGGUUGUGGAAGUCACACCAGUGAUUAAAGCUUGUGGUGCUGUUAUCCACAAUUUGUGUUUUAUCGUGUGAUACAAAACAAUGCAAACAAUAAAAGAGUUUUACAGGUAUGGUAUGACUCUGGGAAUAUUUUAAAAUAUUCUGUUAUACCAUGUUAAUAUUUACUGUACUCCUUGUUUCUGCCAUGGUUUUUUGGUUUGUUGGUGUGUUUAUGGUUAUGGCAACGUUAUACCCUUGUGGAUUUAGGUGAUGUGCUUAUAAGACAUUGAGUUGAGCUAGGCAGUGACCUAAAAAACCACUGUUUGACCUUUUGCCAUUCAUUUUAGAAUGAGAAUUCAUAGCGUUGAUUUGUUUGAAGAGUUAGUGUUAAGUUAACCUAUACUAAGAGUGACCAAAUAGAAUCUAAAAGGAAUUGGAACCAUAUGGUUUUCUGCCGAGUUCCAAAUUAAAUGCUUGUGUGUUUGUGGACUGUACACAAGACUUUUGGUAGCUUCUGGUGUGGCAUUUUGAGAAGAGCAGUUGAGUCAUAUGUUACAAAUUGAUUGUUUGAGAACAUGAACAUUUACUUGGCAUGAGUUUUCCAAAAUAGCUUCUGGAUUCAAUUAGUAACAAUUUUCACACUUAUCCCACUCUGUUUGAUAACAUGUACGUUUACUUGGCCAUGAGUUUUCCAAAAUACUGGCCAUGGGUGUUCCAAAAUAGCUUCUUGAUUCAAUUAGGUAUAAUUUUCAGACUUAGCACACUCUGAUCAUCCUGACUGUAGCAUGAUCUUCCUGAUGAUGGAUUACUGGAGCAUCUUACAAUGAACAUUUUACAACAUUUUAACACAAUAAAAAGUCUGAUAUUUUCUCCUUGCUACGAAUGCUGACGUCUCGAUUUCAAGAAAUCAUAUAGUCUUAACACACUUUGAAUUAUUGUGCAUCUCCAGCCUUCGGGUGUAGUUAAUACUGAAAUAUGUGAAUGGAAGGAACCUUUAAAGGCCUAAAGUAGUAUGGUGUUCUGAACUAACUUCAGGACACAAAAAUUGUUUCUAACUCGGAUCUAGAAAGUAACUGCAAUUAACAAACGAUAGCCAUGUUGCCCCACUCUCCAACUCAAAAGAAUGUAAAAGAAAUGACAGCUAUGUUGUUUACGACCUGUUAUCAAUUCUAAGGGUACUUCUAUUUGAGGUACUCGGUAACUGAAGCUGUCAUCUACAUUGCAUCUCCUAUUUGAGGUACUCUGUAACUGAAGCUGUCAUCUACAUUGCAUCAAAUCAUUUCAGAGUAUUGUAAUUGAGAGGUACACUCUUAAGUGUCUGCUUCGUUAGAAGGCAAGCUCAGCAGAUAUUCUGAUUUUUGUGACCAACUUUAGAUAACGAAUUGAUUCAACUAGAUCUGUUGUCAUUUACUUGUUUUGGUUUUCUUGUUUU